Molecule: ribosomal RNA, 448 nt
Filed under: uncultured bacterium
Lineage: Bacteria
Description: partial 16S ribosomal RNA
Rfam family: Bacterial small subunit ribosomal RNA
Source: RNAcentral
GUAGGGAAUCUUCCACAAUGGACGAAAGUCUGAUGGAGCAACGCCGCGUGAACGAUGAAGGCUUUCGGGUCGUAAAGUUCUGUUGUAAGGGAAGAACAAGUGCCGCAGGCAAUGGCGGCACCUUGGCGGUACCUUGCGAGAAAGCCACGGCUAACUACGUGCCAGCAGCCGCGGUAAUACGUAGGUGGCAAGCGUUGUCCGGAAUUAUUGGGCGUAAAGCGCGCGCAGGCGGCCUCUUAAGUCUGAUGUGAAAGCCCCCGGCUCAACCGGGGAGGGCUAUUGAAAACUGGGAGGCUUGAGUAUAGGAGAGAAGAGUGGAAUUCCACGUGUAGCGGUGAAAUGCGUAGAGAUGUGGAGGAACACCAGUGGCGAAGGCGACUCUCUGGACUGUAACUGACGCUGAGGCUCGAAAGCGUGGGGAGCAAACAGGAUUAGAUACCCGUGGUCC